This is a long non-coding RNA of Hemicordylus capensis (graceful crag lizard), 286 nucleotides long. RefSeq lists it as uncharacterized. The transcript has 3 exons. Lineage: Eukaryota; Metazoa; Chordata; Lepidosauria; Squamata; Cordylidae. The record is from RefSeq and is a predicted model, not a curated record.
GGGGCCUGUGAUGGUUAAGUGACAUGUUUCUAGACACUGCAGCUGAAGCAUUACUCUUCAAGAGACCUGCAGAUUCAAAUUGCAUGGAUAAGGCUACUGGAUGGAUAAUACUAAUGAGGAAGGUACUUCUCAAUGGACAAUGACAGACAAGCUUAAAUAACAUUUUAUUCUGCUUGCAAGUAAACAUGCCAACAGAAAUCACAACCUGAGCUUUAUUAACACCAGCAUCCAAUCCAGGAAUGUUGAAGUGAGCCAGACGUCACAUGCAGUUAUCGAUGGAGCUCUU